Molecule: small RNA, 17 nt
Filed under: Arabidopsis thaliana (thale cress)
Lineage: Eukaryota; Viridiplantae; Streptophyta; Magnoliopsida; Brassicales; Brassicaceae
Description: ATSL054460
Source: RNAcentral
UUUUUUAUCUUUUUUUU